RNAcentral lists this ribosomal RNA (216 nucleotides) under Glomeromycotina sp. RNAcentral describes it as "partial small subunit ribosomal RNA". The stretch from base 40 to 216 matches the Rfam family "Eukaryotic small subunit ribosomal RNA", at positions 686 to 864 of the family's 1831-position model. Lineage: Eukaryota; Fungi; Glomeromycota. The record is from RNAcentral.
GGGUCAGUAGGUUGGUCGUGCCACCGGUACGUACUGCUCUCACUGAUUCCUCCUUCCUGAAGAACCGUAAUGCCAUUAAUUUGGUGUUGCGGGGAAACAGGACUGUUACUUUGAAAAAAUUAGAGUGUUUAAAGCAAGCUAACGCUUGAAUACAUUAGCAUGGAAUAAUGAAAUAGGACGAUCGAUCCUAUUUUGUUGGCUUCUAGGAUUGACGUA